AUUAUUGCUUUAUCUAUUUAUUUUUGUUCUUUCUUUUAUUUUCUUUAGUUUUUUAAUUCUUUUACCUCUUGUGUUGAUAAUGUCCCUUCUCCCUUUUAUUAUUUUUGUUACCUUUUUUAUUUCUUUAUUUUUUUAGUUUAUUUUAGUAUAUUUUUAGUUUGUGCAUAAUUGUUAAUCCAAAAAGACAAAAUAACUAUUAAAAUUAACCUUUUAAAAAUACUAAAGUCAAAGGUGC
RNAcentral lists this long non-coding RNA (235 nucleotides) under Lathyrus oleraceus (garden pea). RNAcentral's name for it is "Pisum sativum (pea) long non-coding RNA (PSAT_LNC027485)". The record is from RNAcentral. Lineage: Eukaryota; Viridiplantae; Streptophyta; Magnoliopsida; Fabales; Fabaceae.